AACAGUGUGUUACCCAAUCUAAAGCCCAAGUUUGAAAAGGAUACAGUCGGUGAAGAUUCUAACCCUGUAGAAAGAGUGUGUUACCCAAUCUAAAGCCCAAGUAUGAAAAGGAUACAGUCGGUGAAGAUUCUAACCCUGUAGAAAGAGUGUGUUACCCAAUCUAAAGCCCAAGUUUGAAAAGGAUACAGUUGGUGAAGAUUCCAACCCUGUAGAAAGAGUGUGUUACCCAAUCUAAAGCCCAAGUUUGAAAA
Molecule: long non-coding RNA, 251 nt
Organism: Haliotis rubra (blacklip abalone)
Lineage: Eukaryota; Metazoa; Mollusca; Gastropoda; Lepetellida; Haliotidae
Exons: 2
Source: RefSeq, a predicted model, not a curated record